GGUCCUGUGACGCAGCAGGUUAGCGUGUCGUUCUUAUAAUGCGAAAGUCGCGAGUUCAAAUCUCGCCAGGACCA
Molecule: transfer RNA, 74 nt
Filed under: Exophiala spinifera
Lineage: Eukaryota; Fungi; Ascomycota; Eurotiomycetes; Chaetothyriales; Herpotrichiellaceae
Description: tRNA-Ile (TAT) (tRNA-Ile-TAT-1-1)
Rfam family: tRNA
About the family: Transfer RNA (tRNA) molecules are approximately 80 nucleotides in length. Their secondary structure includes four short double-helical elements and three loops (D, anti-codon, and T loops). Further hydrogen bonds mediate the characteristic L-shaped molecular structure. tRNAs have two regions of fundamental functional importance: the anti-codon, which is responsible for specific mRNA codon recognition, and the 3' end, to which the tRNAs corresponding amino acid is attached (by aminoacyl-tRNA synthetases). tRNAs cope with the degeneracy of the genetic code in two manners: having more than one tRNA (with a specific anti-codon) for a particular amino acid; and 'wobble' base-pairing, i.e. permitting non-standard base-pairing at the 3rd anti-codon position.
Source: RNAcentral